Molecule: ribosomal RNA, 443 nt
Filed under: uncultured organism
Description: bacterial SSU rRNA
Rfam family: Bacterial small subunit ribosomal RNA
Source: RNAcentral
GACGAACGCUGGCGGCGUGCCUAAUGCAUGCAAGUCGCACGGGCGGCCUUCGGGCCGUCAGUGGCGCACGGCUGAGGAACACGUACGUACCUACCGUCUUGUGGGGGACAACCCCGGGAAACCGGGGCUAAUCCCGCAUACGCUCGUAAGAGGAAAGCGGCUUCGGUCGCGCAAGACGCCGGGCGUGCGGCCCAUCAGGUUGUUGGCGGGGUAACGGCCCACCAAGCCGGUGACGGGUCGCUGGUCUGAGAGGAUGACCAGCCAGACUGGGACUGAGACACGGCCCAGACUCCUACGGGAGGCAGCAGCAAGGAAUUUUCGGCAAUGGGCGCAAGCCUGACCGAGCAACGCCGCGUGGUGGAUGACGGCCUUCGGGUUGUAAACACCUUUUGGGGGGGAUGACAUCGACAGUACCCCCCGAACAAGCCCCGGCUAACUCUGUG